UAAGGAAUAUUGGACAAUGGGGGCAACCCUGAUCCAGCCAUCCCGCGUGCAGGAUGACGGCCCUAUGGGUUGUAAACUGCUUUUAGAUGGAAAGAAAGACACGAGUUUACUUGUGGUUGACGGUACCAUCAGAAUAAGCACCGGCUAACUCCGUGCCAGCAGCCGCGGUAAUACGGAGGGUGCAAGCGUUAUCCGGAAUCACUGGGUUUAAAGGGUGCGUAGGCGGGCAGAUAAGUCAGAGGUGAAAGGUUUCCGCUCAACGGGAAAAUUGCCUUUGAUACUGUUUGUCUUGAAUUAAGUUGAGGUUAGCGGAAUGUGACAUGUAGCGGUGAAAUGCAUAGAUAUGUCAUAGAACACCAAUUGCGUAGGCAGCUAGCUAGGCUUAUAUUGACGCUGAGGCACGAAAGCAUGGGGAGCGAACAGGAUUAGAUACCCCCGUAGUCC
Molecule: ribosomal RNA, 444 nt
Filed under: uncultured prokaryote
Description: bacterial SSU rRNA
Rfam family: Bacterial small subunit ribosomal RNA
Source: RNAcentral